This 461-nucleotide ribosomal RNA is filed under the name uncultured bacterium. Its description in RNAcentral is "bacterial SSU rRNA". It matches the Rfam family "Bacterial small subunit ribosomal RNA", at positions 917 to 1382 of the family's 1533-position model. The record is from RNAcentral.
GGACCCGCACAAGCGGUGGAUGAUGUGGUUUAAUUCGACGCAACGCGAAAAACCUUACCUACCCUUGACAUGCCUGGAAUCCUGCAGAGAUGCGGGGGUGCUCGCAAGAGAACCAGGACACAGGUGCUGCAUGGCCGUCGUCAGCUCGUGUCGUGAGAUGUUGGGUUAAGUCCCGCAACGAGCGCAACCCUUGCCAUUAGUUGCUACGAAAGGGCACUCUAAUGGGACUGCCGGUGACAAACCGGAGGAAGGUGGGGAUGACGUCAGGUCAUCAUGGCCCUUAUGGGUAGGGCUACACACGUCAUACAAUGGCCGGUACAGAGGGCUGCCAACCCGCGAGGGGGAGCCAAUCCCAGAAAACCGGUCGUAGUCCGGAUCGCAGUCUGCAACUCGACUGCGUGAAGUCGGAAUCGCUAGUAAUCGCGGAUCAGCAUGUCGCGGUGAAUACGUUCCCGGGUCUU